This 261-nucleotide ribosomal RNA is filed under the name uncultured archaeon. RNAcentral describes it as "partial 16S ribosomal RNA". It matches the Rfam family "Archaeal small subunit ribosomal RNA", at positions 748 to 1009 of the family's 1478-position model. The record is from RNAcentral.
CAGCCGUAAACUAUGCGCGUUAGGUGUAUCGGUGACCACGAGUUACCGAGGUGCCGAAGGGAAACCGUGAAACGUGCCGCCUGGGAAGUACGGUCGCAAGGCUGAAACUUAAAGGAAUUGGCGGGGGAGCACCACAACAGGUGGAGCCUGCGGUUUAAUUGGACUCAACGCCGGGAAGCUCACCGGAUAGGACAGCAGAAUGAUUGCCGGGCUGAAGACCCUGCAUGACUAGCUGAGAGGAGGUGCAUGGCGUAGACGUCU